GAUCCUGGCUCAUGAUGAACGCUGGCGGCGUGCUUAACACAUGCAAGUCGAACGAUGAACCUCACUUGUGGGGGGAUUAGUGGCNAACGGGUGAGUAACACGUGAGUAACCUGCCCUUGACUCUGGGAUAAGCCUGGGAAACCGGGUCUAAUACUGGAUACGACCUUCUGGCGCAUGCCAUGUUGGUGGAAAGCUUUUGUGGUUUUGGAUGGACUCGCGGCCUAUCAGCUUGUUGGUGGGGUAAUGGCCUACCAAGGCGACGACGGGUAGCCGGCCUGAGAGGGUGACCGGCCACACUGGGACUGAGACACGGCCCAGACUCCUACNGNAGGCAGCA
RNAcentral lists this ribosomal RNA (337 nucleotides) under uncultured bacterium. RNAcentral's name for it is "bacterial SSU rRNA". It matches the Rfam family "Bacterial small subunit ribosomal RNA", at positions 15 to 353 of the family's 1533-position model. The record is from RNAcentral.